GCCGCAUAGUAAAUCACUUAUAGUUACAUAUCACGAUGGAUUGUAUAAUUCAAAUGACAGAAAUGUUGGAACACAUUGGCUACAAGAAAAUUUCCACAUCAAUAUAGAGUACUAGCAAGUCCUCUUUUUAUUCAAAAUAUUGAAUUCUAAACAAAUUUCAAUAGUUUCGAUAUAUCAUAAAAAUAAAAUUGAGAAAGGAAAUG
This 203-nucleotide long non-coding RNA is filed under the name Mytilus galloprovincialis (Mediterranean mussel). The record is from RNAcentral. Lineage: Eukaryota; Metazoa; Mollusca; Bivalvia; Mytilida; Mytilidae.